UGAGGAAUAUUGGUCAAUGGGCGAGAGCCUGAACCAGCCAAGUAGCGUGCAGGAUGACGGCCAUAUGGGUUGUAAACUGCUUUUAGAUGGGAAUAAAGUGAGGGACGUGUCCCUUAUUGCAUGUACCAUAUGAAUAAGGACCGGCUAAUUCCGUGCCAGCAGCCGCGGUAAUACGGAAGGUCCAGGCGUUAUACGGAUUUAUUGGGUUUAAAGGGAGCGUAGGCUGUUUGUUAAGCGUGUUGUGAAAUGUAAGAGCUCAACUUUUAGAUUGCAGCGCGAACUGGCAGACUUGAGUGCGCACAACGUAGGCGAAAUUCAUGGUUUAGCGGUGAUAUGCUUAGAUAUCAUGACGAACUCCGAUUGCGAAGGCAGCUUACGGGAGCGCAACUGACGCUAAAGCUCGAAGGUGCGGGUAUCGAACAGG
Molecule: ribosomal RNA, 424 nt
Filed under: Verrucomicrobiota bacterium
Lineage: Bacteria; Pseudomonadati; Verrucomicrobiota
Description: Verrucomicrobia bacterium partial 16S ribosomal RNA
Rfam family: Bacterial small subunit ribosomal RNA
Source: RNAcentral